This 484-nucleotide ribosomal RNA is filed under the name uncultured bacterium. RNAcentral describes it as "partial 16S ribosomal RNA". It matches the Rfam family "Bacterial small subunit ribosomal RNA", at positions 29 to 507 of the family's 1533-position model. The record is from RNAcentral.
AGUGAACGCUGGCGGCAGGCCUAACACAUGCAAGUCGAGCGGCAGCGCGGGGGCAACCCUGGCGGCGAGCGGCGGACGGGUGAGGAAUUCGUCGGAAUCUGCCUUUUUGUGGGGGAUAACGUAGGGAAACUUACGCUAAUACCGCAUACGUCCUACGGGAGAAAGUGGGGGACCGCAAGGCCUCACGCAGAAAGAUGAGCCGACGACCGAUUAGCUAGUUGGUGGGGUAAAGGCCCACCAAGGCGACAAUCGGUAGCUGGUCUGAGAGAAUGAUCAGCCACACUGGGACUGAGACACGGCCCAGACUCCUACGGGAGGCAGCAGUGGGGAAUAUUGGACAAUGGGCGCAAGCCUGAUCCAGCCAUGCCGCGUGUGUGAAGAAGGCCUUCGGGUUGUAAAGCACUUUUGUCCGGAAAGAAAUCCCUGGAGCUAAUACCUUCGGGGGAUGACGGUACCGGAAGAAUAAGCACCGGCUAACUUCGUG